GAUGAACGCUGGCGGCGUGCCUAAUACAUGCAAGUCGAGCGAACAGACGAGGAGCUUGCUCCUCUGACGUUAGCGGCGGACGGGUGAGUAACACGUGGAUAACCUACCUAUAAGACUGGGAUAACUUCGGGAAACCGGAGCUAAUACCGGAUAAUAUAUUGAACCGCAUGGUUCAAUAGUGAAAGACGGUUUUACUGUCACUUAUAGAUGGAUCCGCGCCGCAUUAGCUAGUUGGUAAGGUAACGGCUUACCAAGGCGACGAUGCGUAGCCGACCUGAGAGGGUGAUCGGCCACACUGGAACUGAGACACGGUCCAGACUCCUACGGGAGGCAGCAGUAGGGAAUCUUCCGCAAUGGGCGAAAGCCUGACGGAGCAACGCCGCGUGAGUGAUGAAGGUCUUCGGAUCGUAAAACUCUGUUAUUAGGGAAGAACAAAUGUGUAAGUAACUAUGCACGUCUUGACGGUACCUAAUCAGAAAGCCACGGCUAACUACGU
This 496-nucleotide ribosomal RNA is filed under the name uncultured bacterium. RNAcentral describes it as "partial 16S ribosomal RNA". It matches the Rfam family "Bacterial small subunit ribosomal RNA", at positions 28 to 506 of the family's 1533-position model. The record is from RNAcentral.